UAAUGUAGGGCAAUCUGGCUGCAACAUCUGUCACCCCAUUGAUCACCAGGAUUGAUUUGGCUGAUCUGGCUGGCUAGGCAGGUGUCCUCUUCCUCUCUCACUGCUCCAUGUGCAUCCCUCCCAAAGGUGUGUGCUCGGUGGAAGAGGACAACCAUCCCUCAUAGAGGAGGACCGUUCUUCAGUCGAGGGUAUACAAGUAGCUGCACUCCCCUGCUAGUACCUUCAAAUAAGCUCUCAAGGCCCAUUUUUUUUUUUAACUGUGGUGCAAUUGAUAAAACAUUACAUUAGUUUCUGGUAUACAAUAUCAUCAUUGAAUAUUGGUAUAUACUG
RNAcentral lists this small nuclear RNA (330 nucleotides) under Sus scrofa (pig). Its description in RNAcentral is "7SK RNA". It matches the Rfam family "7SK RNA". From Rfam's summary of the family: 7SK was discovered as an abundant small nuclear RNA in the mid-70s but a possible function has only recently been suggested. The record is from Rfam by way of RNAcentral. Lineage: Eukaryota; Metazoa; Chordata; Mammalia; Artiodactyla; Suidae.